UCAAAACAGCGGACUUCGGUCCUUGCUGCACCCUUGUCUUUUGCGCACCGUAUUGUUUCCUCGGCGGGCUUGCCUGCCGGUUGGACAUUAUCAAAACCUUUUUGUAGCUGCAAUCAGCGUCAGAAAAACAAUAAUUAUUA
Molecule: unclassified non-coding RNA, 140 nt
Filed under: soil metagenome
Description: partial internal transcribed spacer 1
Source: RNAcentral